RNAcentral lists this ribosomal RNA (253 nucleotides) under uncultured bacterium. Its description in RNAcentral is "partial 16S ribosomal RNA". It matches the Rfam family "Bacterial small subunit ribosomal RNA", at positions 524 to 776 of the family's 1533-position model. The record is from RNAcentral.
UACGUAGGGUCCGAGCGUUGUCCGGAAUUAUUGGGCGUAAAGGGCUCGUAGGCGGUUUGUCGCGUCGGGGAGUGAAAACACCGGGCUUAACUCGGUGCUUGCUUUCGAUACGGGCAGACUGGAGGUAUGCAGGGGAGAACGGAAUUCCUGGUGUAGCGGUGAAAUGCGCAGAUAUCAGGAGGAACACCGGUGGCGAAGGCGGUUCUCUGGGCAUUACCUGACGUGAGGAGCGAAAGUGUGGGGAGCGAACAGG